UGUUUCUGUAUUUUUCAUGUUUAUGAUAUUUUGGAAUGACUGAAGAUCAGCGCAGUAUUCAAUAAUCUUGUGGAUGGACCGCAGCGAGUCCUUUUGCAGUUGUAUCCAUCAAAAUGCUUUGCAGACAUAAUGGAAAUGACAUUCACAUUGUAGAGCUUGGACAAAGUUCACACAGGCUCGGAGCAGGAAUUCAUCAAGGACAUGACUGUUGGGAUUACGGUUGUGGAUGACCAAACUGAGCACCAUCAGUCUGCAGUGAUGUGGUCCAGGUGUAUUGUUGUCUCUCCUCCGCGCUUCCGUGUUCGUCACUAAUUACCGGUGCAUGCAUGACUCCUCUGUCCUACGUCAUCCAUCUGGAACGGCUCUCACGGAAGCGAGAGAAAAGUGUUUAUAACAUUUUAAAUAUGGAUAUUUUUC
Long non-coding RNA from Cyprinus carpio carpio, 417 nucleotides. The record is from Ensembl. Lineage: Eukaryota; Metazoa; Chordata; Actinopteri; Cypriniformes; Cyprinidae.